Molecule: ribosomal RNA, 468 nt
Filed under: uncultured bacterium
Lineage: Bacteria
Description: partial 16S ribosomal RNA
Rfam family: Bacterial small subunit ribosomal RNA
Source: RNAcentral
GACGAACGCUGGCGGCGUGCUUAACACAUGCAAGUCGAACGGAAAGGCCCUGCUUUUGUGGGGUGCUCGAGUUGCGAACGGGUGAUUAACACGUUAGUAACCUGCCCUUGACUUUGGGAUAACUUCAGGAAACUUGGGCUAAUACCGGAUAGGAGCUCCUGCUGCAUGGUGGGGGUUGGAAAGUUUCGGCGGUUGGGGAUGGACUCGCGGCUUAUCAGCUUGUUGGUGGGGUAGUGGCUUACCAAGGCUUUGACGGGUAGCCGGCCUGAGAGGGUGACCGGCCACAUUGGGACUGAGAUACGGCACAGACUCCUACGGGAGGCAGCAGUGGGGAAGAGUGCACAAUGGGCGGAAGCAUGAUGCAGCAAAGCAGCGUGCGGGAUGACGGCCUUCGGGUUGUAAACCGCUUUCGCCUGUGACGAAGCGUGAGUGACGGUAAUGGGUAAAGAAGCACCGGCUAACUACGUG